GACAGAGGGUGCAAACGUUGUUCGGAAUUACUAGGCGUAAAGCGCGUGUAGGCUGCUCCGCAAGUCGGGUGUGAAAGCCCUGGGCUCAACCUAGGAAGUGCACUCGAAACUGCAGAGCUGGAGUCCUGGAGAGGAAGGCGGAAUUCUCGGUGUAGAGGUGAAAUUCGUAGAUAUCGAGAGGAACACCGGUGGCGAAGGCGGCCUUCUGGACAGUGACUGACGCUGAGGUGCGAAAGCGUGGGGAGCAAACAGG
This 253-nucleotide ribosomal RNA is filed under the name uncultured bacterium. RNAcentral's name for it is "partial 16S ribosomal RNA". It matches the Rfam family "Bacterial small subunit ribosomal RNA", at positions 524 to 776 of the family's 1533-position model. The record is from RNAcentral.